AUACGAACCGUACGAACGUUAUUCGGAAUCACUGGGCUUAAAGAGUGCGUAGGCGGCCUGGUAAGUUGGAUGUGAAAUCCCUCGGCUCAACCGAGGAACUGCGUUCAAUACUGCCAAGCUUGAGGGAGAUAGAGGUGAGCGGAACUAAUGGUGGAGCGGUGAAAUGCGUUGAUAUCAUUAGGAACACCGGUGGCGAAAGCGGCUCACUGGGUCUCUUCUGACGCUGAGGCACGAAAGCUAGGGGAGCGAACGGGAUUAGAAACCCCAGUAGUCC
Molecule: ribosomal RNA, 274 nt
Filed under: uncultured bacterium
Lineage: Bacteria
Description: partial 16S ribosomal RNA
Rfam family: Bacterial small subunit ribosomal RNA
Source: RNAcentral